AUUGAACGCUGGCGGCAGGCCUAACACAUGCAAGUCGAGCGGAUGAAGGGAGCUUGCUCCUGGAUUCAGCGGCGGACGGGUGAGUAAUGCCUAGGAAUCUGCCUGGUAGUGGGGGAUAACGUCCGGAAACGGGCGCUAAUACCGCAUACGUCCUGAGGGAGAAAGUGGGGGAUCUUCGGACCUCACGCUAUCGGAUGAGCCUAGGUCGGAUUAGCUAGUUGGUGGGGUAAAGGCCUACCAAGGCGACGAUCCGUAACUGGUCUGAGAGGAUGAUCAGUCACACUGGAACUGAGACACGGUCCAGACUCCUACGGGAGGCAGCAGUGGGGAAUAUUGGACAAUGGGCGAAAGCCUGAUCCAGCCAUGCCGCGUGUGUGAAGAAGGUCUUCGGAUUGUAAAGCACUUUAAGUUGGGAGGAAGGGCAGUAAGUUAAUACCUUGCUGUUUUGACGUUACCAACAGAAUAAGCACCGGCUAACUUCGCG
RNAcentral lists this ribosomal RNA (484 nucleotides) under uncultured bacterium. RNAcentral describes it as "partial 16S ribosomal RNA". It matches the Rfam family "Bacterial small subunit ribosomal RNA", at positions 30 to 507 of the family's 1533-position model. The record is from RNAcentral.